UACAGAGGUCUCAAGCGUUGUUCGGAUUCAUUGGGCGUAAAGGGCGCGUAGGCGGCGCGGUAAGUCGGGUGUGAAAUCUCGGAGCUUAACUCCGAAACUGCAUUCGAUACUGCCGUGCUUGAGGACUGGAGAGGAGACUGGAAUUUACGGUGUAGCGGUGAAAUGCGUAGAUAUCAGGAGGAACACCGGUGGCGAAGGCGGGUCUCUGGGCCGAUACUGACGCUGAGGAGCGAAAGCGUGGGGAGCGAACAGG
This 253-nucleotide ribosomal RNA is filed under the name uncultured bacterium. RNAcentral's name for it is "partial 16S ribosomal RNA". It matches the Rfam family "Bacterial small subunit ribosomal RNA", at positions 524 to 776 of the family's 1533-position model. The record is from RNAcentral.